This 468-nucleotide ribosomal RNA is filed under the name uncultured bacterium. Its description in RNAcentral is "partial 16S ribosomal RNA". It matches the Rfam family "Bacterial small subunit ribosomal RNA", at positions 28 to 507 of the family's 1533-position model. The record is from RNAcentral.
GACGAACGCUGGCGGCGUGCUUAACACAUGCAAGUCGAACGGAAAGGCCCUGCUUUUGUGGGGUGCUCGAGUGGCGAACGGGUGAGUAACACGUGAGUAACCUGCCCUUGACUGUGGGAUAACUUCAGGAAACUGGGGCUAAUACCGGAUAGGAGCUCCUGCUGCAUGGUGGGGGUUGGAAAGUUUCGGCGGUUGGGGAUGGACUCGCGGCUUAUCAGCUUGUUGGUGGGGUAGUGGCUUACCAAGGCUUUGACGGGUAGCCGGCCUGAGAGGGUGACCGGCCACAUUGGGACUGAGAUACGGCCCAGCCUCCUACGGGAGGCAGCAGUGGGGAAUAUUGCACAAUGGGCGGAAGCCUGAUGCAGCACCGCCGCGUGCGGGAUGACGGCCUUCGGGUUGUAAACCGCUUUCGCCUGUGACGAAGCGUGAGUGACGGUAAUGGGUAAAGAAGCACCGGCUAACUACGUG